AGGGGUGUAGCUCCAUGGUGCAGUGUUUGCCUGGCAUGUAUGAGGCCCUGGGUUCAAUCCCCAGUGCCCCCC
RNAcentral lists this transfer RNA (72 nucleotides) under Marmota monax (woodchuck). It matches the Rfam family "tRNA". From Rfam's summary of the family: Transfer RNA (tRNA) molecules are approximately 80 nucleotides in length. Lineage: Eukaryota; Metazoa; Chordata; Mammalia; Rodentia; Sciuridae. The record is from Rfam by way of RNAcentral.